Molecule: long non-coding RNA, 805 nt
Organism: Rhagoletis pomonella (apple maggot)
Lineage: Eukaryota; Metazoa; Arthropoda; Insecta; Diptera; Tephritidae
Exons: 4
Source: RefSeq, a predicted model, not a curated record
CCUGCUUAUAUAUAAUUCCUAGCUUCCUUUUAUGCUUUGAAGGUUCCUAUUCGCCGUUGAUUACUUUGAUGCAGGCAUAUAUUAAUAUUGAUCGGACUAUUGGCAUAUACUGUGUGUAUCCAGUAUACUUUCUUCCGAACCAGAUACAGAGACAUUUAUAUCUGUCGUCUUUUUGCAAGUGAAAGCAACUUUUCUACUAGGAGCGGUGAAGGGACUCCACCCUGUGAAUUUCCCCAGAAUAACACACCGCGGGCCGGUAGUUGGUAAAUUAGUAAGAAUAAGACCCGAGGUCUGGAUAUUGCAGUUGCAUCUCAACUCCAACUUAUCCACGCUCCACCCCGACAUAUCAAAUAUAUGUCCGGCUUGUGAAUGUUGCCCCCGCGAUACCAACCACAGCUUCACCUGCCCAAUUACACUCACUCAGCUAACACCCCCUAAAUUCUACGUUCUAAUAACAUAUCGAGAUUGAGACGAUCAAAUGGUCUGUGACUCCCUGAGGAAGGCAGGAAAAAGCGCUGAAACGCAUAGGAGGGAAAAGGAAAACUUAUUUUCGCUUUUUAUUUCAAGAAAGAAGGCAUUUAAUGCAAAUUGAAAUUUUUUGCUAUUUUUUCUGCUGCUGAGGCGCUUGCCGGGUUCUCCUUAAAAGUAUUUAGAAUAUCGUGUAAAAAAUUGGACCUAAAAGAAGCGCUUACUUACGUUUCUUCUCAUCGGCAGACAUAAGUAGCGAUAAAAUGGUGACUUGAUUAUUUUUACUGAUUUCUAGGAGGGUGGCAGCGGCUGUUUCAUCCUUAUUUGAUAAGUAAAA